Molecule: long non-coding RNA, 974 nt
Organism: Sinocyclocheilus rhinocerous
Lineage: Eukaryota; Metazoa; Chordata; Actinopteri; Cypriniformes; Cyprinidae
Exons: 2
Source: RefSeq, a predicted model, not a curated record
UAGUAUUUUAAUUUGCAAAUAAAUGUAUACAGGUGGUGAGGGAAAAUCAAGAAGCAUCUUUGGUACCUUCUUAUAUAAUGGGAAUGUCAAAUUUGAAUGGCCAGCAAAUAAAAUAAAAUACCAGUUGACAAACAUUUUGAAACAGAAAACCUAAACCUGUGCAGAAACCUUGACUGACUGGAAUGAAAUAUGGAAGGAUCUACAUGGUCAACUGAUGACUUGAUGCACUUUACGCUCAACACUUUGACAAAUUAUUGUUGUGCCCCUUCAGUAUUGGUAAAGUAUUGGAGGGAAAAAAAUUCAAGAGUGCUGAAAUUUACUGACAUCACAAAACUAAGUCACUUUGUGUGGAACGUACAUUCAUUUCACAGCAUAGCUAGAAUUGCAUAGAGUGUACUUGAAUCUUCCUGUUUAAUCUGAUGUAACUGGGCUUUAAUUUUUUUUUACAUUUUGAAUAACACAUUUAGUAAGACAUAAACAUGUGAUCAGUAUCUAAAAAAAAAACAAAAAACAAAAAACUCAACUUACACUGAAAUCACACACUGAAAGAGAAUUCCUCAUUGGUCAUGACAUCAUUCCAAGAGCACAUUGCUAAUUAGAAGUUAAUGGAAUUGGGUUAAAGGAAUGUAUCUAUAAUGGUGGAUAUAUAAACUUAUCAAAGAAGCUAGUGGCGCUCUAAGAUGGUGUAAACUGAAAGAUACAUGUGACAAAUUCAAGUGCUGUGCAAAAGCAUAAAAAAAAAUCUAGGAUCAGAUUACAUGAACCUUAACCUCAAAAAACAAUGUUAGUCUUAACUGUACGCCUACAAUUCUAAACUCUUGAGUAGUGAAGAUGAAUAACAAAUCAUACAUUCUUUGUUUGGUGCAAACUAUGAUUUGUGGGAUUUAAACCGAAGAAAGAGGGUGGCUGGAAAGUGUACAAGCAGAUUUUACCUGAUACAACAACUUAAGGCGAGAAAUUAAAUAAAAACACCC